Molecule: ribosomal RNA, 460 nt
Filed under: uncultured bacterium
Lineage: Bacteria
Description: partial 16S ribosomal RNA
Rfam family: Bacterial small subunit ribosomal RNA
Source: RNAcentral
CCUACGGGUGGCAGCAGUGAGGAAUAUUGGUCAAUGGACGAGAGUCUGAACCAGCCAAGUAGCGUGAAGGAUGACUGCCCUAUGGGUUGUAAACUUCUUUUAUCUGGGAAUAAAAUGUUCCACGUGUGGGAUUUUGUAUGUACCAUAUGAAUAAGGAUCGGCUAACUCCGUGCCAGCAGCCGCGGUAAUACGGAGGCUCCGAGAGUUAUCCGGAUUUAUUGGGUUUAAAGGGAGCGUAGGUGGAUUGUUAAGUCAGUUGUGAAAGUUUGCGGCUCAACCGUAAAAUUGCAGUUGAAACUGGCAGUCUUGAGUACAGUAGAGGUGGGCGGAAUUCGUGGUGUAGCGGUGAAAUGCUUAGAUAUCACGAAGAACUCCGAUUGCGAAGGCAGUUCACUGGACUGCAACUGACACUGAGGCUCGAAAGUGUGGGUAUCAAACAGGAUUAGAUACCCCUGUAGUC